RNAcentral lists this unclassified non-coding RNA (1475 nucleotides) under Hevea brasiliensis (rubber tree). The record is from RNAcentral. Lineage: Eukaryota; Viridiplantae; Streptophyta; Magnoliopsida; Malpighiales; Euphorbiaceae.
GGAAAUUAGAAGAUGCAGAUAGCUAUGCCCAUGCAUGUCAAAGAUGAUAUUAAUGAAUUUUAAUAGUAGUAACCAAAGAUAAGAGAUUGAGAUUCAAACACACCUAGAGUGUUUUCUCCCUCACGAGGUCUCUCCGUUGAGGUUGCUCUCUGGAGAGUGUAGAACUUUCAGUUGCAGUUUUAGUUUUAGUUUUCAGUUUGGUUGGGUGGUUUUUUGCUUUAUCUUCCCAGUCUCUUUGACUUCCCUUCUUUGUUAUUGCCUGUGUGUUGGUAGUGCUUUUAUUUUUUCAACUUAUUACUUAUUGAAGAUACCUGCUGGAAUAUGGGUCAGUCAACACCAUCCAUUAAUGAGCUCUGUGAUACAACCAGUUUGCUAUCGUGGGAAGAUGUCACGUUGGAAUAAAUUCUGAUACCCAAGCGGCAGCUUCUCGGUCCAGUACCAUAUUGGUCGGGAAACUUCUUUCAGCAAAAAUUUUUCCAACAAAUCAUGUGCGCAACAUUUUGAAGCAAGUAUGGAAUUUGGCUUUUGAUUUUCAAGUUAAAGCUCUCCCGGAGAUGCAAAAUAUUUUCCUUUUCACUUUCUCUCAUGAAAGGGACAAAGAUAGAGUGCUGGAUGGAAUACCGUGGUUGAUUAAUAAUGCCCUGAUUGUGUUGAAACAAUGGUUGCCCAAUUUGAAAUUGGCAGAAGUUGAUUUUUCCUCUAGCCCCUUUUGGGUGCAGGUUCACGUGUUGCCUAUCAAUCAAAUGACUACGCAGAACGCUAGGCUCAUUGGAAAUCUUUUCAAGAAUCUUCUGGAUAUUGAUAUGGCAUCUAAUGACGAUGUUUCAAUUGGAAGUUGUAUUAGGCUCAGAGUGGACGUGGAUAUCACUAAGCCUAUGUUGGAGGGGUUUACAAACAAGCGACCAGACGGCUCCCUCGAAAGAGUCAGAUUUAGAUUUGAGCGGUUGCCGGAUUUAUGCUAUAUGUGUGGUCUUCUUGAUCACCAAAUUCAAACAUGCUCCAACAUAAGCAGAGUUACCAUUGUAGAGAAUCAAGGCAAACGUCAGGAAUACGGACCUUGGAUGAGGGCAGAGAUCUUCUCCUCAAAAUCAAAAAGCUAAUUCAGAGCUCCACCAGUUCAAAGGCCGGUCCUAAGUUCAUCUGGUAGCUUGCUAGGCGUGAAUUAGGUGGCGCGUGAGGUAUCUGAAGUGGACAAACAAGUGAAGACUUCCACUCAAUCACCUGUCUCAUUAGUCUCUGGCGAACCAACUGUCAGAUGUGGUAGACAUCAUAACCUCGAGCCGAUCUCUGUUGCUUUUACGGCUGAAGUGGCUGCUAGACCAUCAUUGCCUCUUGGCAAAGGUAAAAUCUCUCCUCCACAGUCCUCUCAAACAAUCACUCUGUCUCAGUUUGAGUAUUACGGUAACUGUGAUCCAAGAAGAGUUGAGUACAGAUUAUACCUUCACUUAGCCUGACAUUCCCUCGUUGAAAAGAAA